This is a long non-coding RNA of Paramacrobiotus metropolitanus, 1140 nucleotides long. RefSeq lists it as uncharacterized. NCBI's taxonomy places the organism in Eukaryota, Metazoa, Tardigrada, Eutardigrada, Parachela, Macrobiotidae. The record is from RefSeq and is a predicted model, not a curated record. The transcript has 4 exons.
UCCGUCAAGUUUUUGGAAAAGUUCACUAAUUCUGGUUUUGGGUUUUGGCAGCUUCCUAGUGGGAUUGCAGCGUUUCGGAAAAUGUUACAGUUAUGCGUACUGCGUACAUGUCGGUGUAUACGACAUAUGCCGUGGUUUCUCUUUGUGAUUAUCGAUGUUGUAUGAUCGCAUAAUUAUGCUACAUCACUUAAAUGGAGCCCUGGUAUCUAGGCAACCGGAAACUUGUCACUAGCGACACGCCCGGGUGUACACCCAUUGCUUCGGGAUCAGUGGCAAGUGACAACGCGUAAACGAUCAAACCGGUUGUAAGUGCUAUUUUCGAUAACUUUUGUGAUUUGAAGACUGUUGCGCUUAUUAACAUGGUUCCACGCUGUGACCCUAUAGUGUUUUUACAAUCACUUCAUCUGCCGCCAGCGUAAAUUUUACUGAUUGGCUCAGUAAUGGUUAUUUUCCCAGAGUUAAUAGAAGACCAUAAUUUUUUUUGCUGAUUUGGGAUACACAAUAUUCGGAUGUUUGUGCGUUUGCCUUGUUUUUGUCACCCUUUAUGUGAGCUUCUCUCACUCUGAUUUGAUUAUUUGCCGACAAAUUACAAGAAUGGUGGAUGACCUUUGAAAAAAGGUGGACGUCCUUUAAAAAAUGGUAGAUGAGCUUUGAAGGAGUGUGGAUGAUUUUCGGCGGAACAUGGGAUGCCGAAAUCAAAGAAACAGUGGUGGAAAGCGAUUAAGUGGCAUGCCUUUCUUUCGUAGAUCUUGCGAAGCGUUUUCGGGAGCAGUCUGAUGAAAUGUGCGCAAAGUCAAUUUAGAUACAGCGUUGCAGUAUGAAAAUACUCCGCGGCAUGGUGCGCAGUAUUCCCGGCAGCGGAAAGCAAUCGACAAACUCACUUUCUGCUCUGGGAUUUUCUUGGGGUUUUUUAGAAGUCUACAACUUCAGCUUAGUUAUUUUGUAAUUAAUCUGCUAUCGAUUAUGUUUUGGUUGUUAGUUAAUGGAUAUAGCAGUGAACAGCAAUUGCUACAAUUUGCAAUACCUUUCCAGAAAUGUGGAUGGCCUUUAUAAAAAGAAAGGUGGAUGACCUUUACAGAAAGGUGGACUACCAUAACAACACUCACUUAAGGUGCUACAACGUCUCCACUUGAGUUUGCC